UCAUUUUUCCUUAUAGACGCAUCAGAUAGAAGUAAAGUAGCGAUAAUAACGAAUUUGCAGUUCGAUAUCAGCCUAAACGACCUUUCAUUCUUUGGCAAACACUCCCUUUAAAUAUUAAUAUUUUAGAUACAGAAAUGCACAAUAGUAGAAACUUGAUACUAUUAUUUCUCCUUCUAAUUUUUGGAUUCAUUUUCAUUUUGAAGACCUACCCUUAUCUAGACCUUGGCACAAAUAGACAAAUAG
Eurytemora carolleeae is the source of this 243-nucleotide long non-coding RNA. RefSeq lists it as uncharacterized. The record is from RefSeq and is a predicted model, not a curated record. The transcript has 2 exons. NCBI's taxonomy places the organism in Eukaryota, Metazoa, Arthropoda, Copepoda, Calanoida, Temoridae.